UACAGAGGGGGCAAGCGUUGUUCGGAUUUAUUGGGCGUAAAGAGCUCGUAGGCGGUUCGGCAAGUCAGCUGUGAAAUCUCCACGCUCAACGUGGAGGGGUCAGCUGAUACUGCUGUGACUCGAGUCCGGUAGGGGAGUGUGGAAUUCCCGGUGUAGCGGUGAAAUGCGCAGAUAUCGGGAGGAACACCAGUAGCGAAGGCGGCACUCUGGGCUGGUACUGACGCUGAGGAGCGAAAGCGUGGGUAGCAAACAGG
RNAcentral lists this ribosomal RNA (254 nucleotides) under uncultured bacterium. RNAcentral's name for it is "partial 16S ribosomal RNA". It matches the Rfam family "Bacterial small subunit ribosomal RNA", at positions 524 to 776 of the family's 1533-position model. The record is from RNAcentral.